This 1989-nucleotide ribosomal RNA is filed under the name Triticum aestivum (bread wheat). RNAcentral's name for it is "partial small subunit ribosomal RNA". Lineage: Eukaryota; Viridiplantae; Streptophyta; Magnoliopsida; Poales; Poaceae. The record is from RNAcentral.
AUGGUGCAGGGUAAGUAUAAAGUAACACCGGACUAUCGAGAAGAGGCCGAGCUACUUCGCUGGGAGCAUAAUCUCCUGUCUGAAGCAUUUGUCAGUGUGACGACCUGUCCUGGGUACAAUGGAAAUAACAUCCUUUUACACUCCCAUGUUGUCACAUUAAGUGCACUAAUAAAGUUCAGUACUGCAGAUCAUGAUGCAAAACAUAUUUUAUGCCUUUUGUCUGCUAGGAUUGAAUGUAAGGAGGAGUUGCUUUUGUCUCUACUGAAACCUUUGAACAAAAUUUGGACCCAGCCAGAGUGGAACGAAGAAUACAUGCAUUAUACAUAUCGUCUAACUGGUCUUCUUUGCAAUGAUCAAUUUAGGGAGACAAUAUGUUUGUUGGUAAAGUCAUUUGAGGAGGAGAUCAAAGGAAGCAAAAUUGAACAUUCUACGGGAACACAGGAAAAAUGCCGUCCAACAUCAACUACCAAUUAUCCGUGCUCAUCUACCUUUCCACAACUAAUGCUUGCCCUGCUCUUACGGAUCCUUCAUUUUAUACACAUGGCUUGGAUGGAUCGGUCUGAGUGCUAUGAUCUGCCAGAAAUUAUUUGGAGAGCUAGACUCAUUAGUACCAAUGAGAUAUCCACUUUUCUGAAGGAGAAUAAUACUUUACCUGCCAAUGAUGGAGUUGAUGUUCGUAGGAUGAAUGCUAUUGGAACAUGGUUACGUGAAAUUCGAGAAACUGGGUAUAAUAUCAUAGGCUUGUACGCGUCUGUUGAAAGAUCAAUUUUUGGAUUGGACUGUUCUCUUUCCAUAAAUACUCUUGCAAUGGAUAUAAGCUCCAUGGAAUUUGAUCAUGUGGGGAAACUCAUACAGCUCAGCUUCAUUCCAUUAGUCAGGUGUUGCCCUCGAGGAUGUUGGGACAAAUGGGUGUUGUUGUUGUUGGAAUCUUUAUUUUUCUACUGUAAAGAUAUCUUUGGUUAUGCGUGGCUCAGUCUUAUACACGAGGGACGCGCUGAAGUACCAGCUUACUUUGGCAAUCUUUAUGGACCUGAAGAAAAAGUCAAGAAAUUAGAAGUGGAGCUGCUGCUUAAAUUCACUCGUUCUGUAUCUUAUUUGCUCGGGGUUUUAGCAUCAGAAGAAUUUAAUAGCGGCCUUCCGCAGUUGAAUUGCCCAAAAUCUGACUUGAAAUCCAUAUCUUCCAGCUCCCUUAUGGGGUAUCUUUUACUUCACAAUUGCUUUGGGAGGUUUAGCAUGUACUCCUUGUUUGGGUCUUUGGUGGAUUAUCAAGCAGCUAAGGAAGCACUACCCUUUUGUCAUGCAUUGAUCCGCCUUGCCGUUGCUACUGAUGAUGAGAGACUGAAACAGUUUAUUCUUAAUGAAAUGCUUCCAACUCUUGUCCGGUUUGAUGAUAGGAGUCCCCCAAGUGGAAUCUCAUGGUUAAGAUCGGAGUUAAGUUCAAGCAUAGAAGUGAGUUCUAUGAAGGAUGUUGUUGGCCUUUGUCGGGAAAUAUACGACGUUUACUUGCACAAUCAGAUUACUAUUAUGAAGGGUGAACAGCAGAACAGAAAGACGUGUUCGGAUGGACUCAGUGAUUGGUUUGAAAAGGAAUAGGAGGAUCUUCGUAUACGCGCGUCUUUGCCUGCUCCAAAUGAUUUUCCAAAGUACCUUGUGUGGAAUUGGGAGUUCAAUGAAGAAUUUGACAGAUAUUUUCCUACCUAUAUGGAAAUGUUGCAUGAGGUGGAUACAAUGUAUGACUGUCUGGAGCGUAAAUUUUUAAACGGUGAGGGUCUUCUUGAGAGACUGAAUCCAGAGUUUAAGGCAAAGUAUGCCAUUAACAACUUGCAACAACCUCAUUUGCGAAUCAUGUCCCGUAUGCUACAGAGAAAGGAGAGUGAUGUAUGCUAUUGGCGACGUACUGAUGAGAUCUACGAGUUUUUGGUCCAACUUAUCAAUCUGAAACCUUACAUUAAGGUAUUUGGCCCGGUCUUACAUUUCUCAUUUCUGUAA